UUCUGGCUCAGGACGAACGCUGGCGGCGUGCUUAACACAUGCAAGUCGAGCGAUGAAGUCCUCGGGACGGAUAGCGGCGGACGGGUGAGUAACACGUGGGUAACCUGCCUCAUAGAGGGGAAUAGCCUUUCGAAAGGAAGAUUAAUACCGCAUAAGAUUGUAGUUUCGCAUGAAACAGCAAUUAAAGGAGUAAUCCGCUAUGAGAUGGACCCGCGUCGCAUUAGCUAGUUGGUGAGGUAACGGCUCACCAAGGCGACGAUGCGUAGCCGACCUGAGAGGGUGAUCGGCCACAUUGGGACUGAGACACGGCCCAGACUCCUACGGGAGGCAGCAGUGGGGAAUAUUGCACAAUGGGGGAAACCCUGAUGCAGCAACGCCCGCGUGAGUGAUGACGGUCUUCGGAUUGUAAAGCUCUGUCUUCAGGGACGAUAAUGACGGUACCUGAGGAGGAAGCCACGGCUAACUACGUGCCAGCAGCUGC
This 481-nucleotide ribosomal RNA is filed under the name uncultured bacterium. RNAcentral describes it as "bacterial SSU rRNA". It matches the Rfam family "Bacterial small subunit ribosomal RNA", at positions 17 to 518 of the family's 1533-position model. The record is from RNAcentral.